This 279-nucleotide ribosomal RNA is filed under the name uncultured bacterium. RNAcentral's name for it is "partial 16S ribosomal RNA". It matches the Rfam family "Bacterial small subunit ribosomal RNA", at positions 506 to 784 of the family's 1533-position model. The record is from RNAcentral.
UGCCAGCCGCCGCGGUAAUACGGAGGGUGCGAGCGUUAAUCGGAAUCACUGGGCGUAAAGCGUACGUAGGUGGCAAGGUCAGUCAGGCGUGAAAGCCCUCGGCUCAACCGAGGAAUUGCGUUUGAUACUGCUUGACUAGUGUCCGGUAGAGGUGAGUGGAAUUCUCGGUGUAGCGGUGAAAUGCGCAGAUAUCGAGAGGAACACCAUUAGCGAAGGCGGCUCACUGGGCCGGUACAGACGCUGAGGAGCGAAAGCGUGGGGAGCAAACAGGAUUAGAUA